RNAcentral lists this ribosomal RNA (239 nucleotides) under uncultured Lactobacillus sp. Its description in RNAcentral is "partial 16S ribosomal RNA". It matches the Rfam family "Bacterial small subunit ribosomal RNA", at positions 125 to 356 of the family's 1533-position model. Lineage: Bacteria; Bacillati; Bacillota; Bacilli; Lactobacillales; Lactobacillaceae. The record is from RNAcentral.
CCGUAGCCCAAGAGAUCGGGAUAACACCUGGAAACAGAUGCUAAUACCGGAUAACAACAGAUGAUGCCUAUCAACUGUUUAAAAGAUGGUUCUGCUAUCACUCUUGGAUGGACCUGCGGUGCAUUAGCUAGUUGGUAGGGUAACGGCCUACCAAGGCGAUGAUGCAUAGCCGAGUUGAGAGACUGAUCAGCCACAUUGGGACUGAGACACGGCCCAAACUCCUACGGGAGGCAGCAGUG